CUGGCGGCGUGCCUAAUACAUGCAAGUCGAACGCACUCUCGUUUAGAUUGAAGGAGCUUGCUCCUGAUUGAUAAACAUUUGAGUGAGUGGCGGACGGGUGAGUAACACGUGGGUAACCUGCCCUAAAGUGGGGGAUAACAUUUGGAAACAGAUGCUAAUACCGCAUAAAACCUAACACCGCAUGGUGUAGGGUUGAAAGAUGGUUUCGGCUAUCACUUUAGGAUGGACCCGCGGUGCAUUAGUUAGCUGGUGAGGUAAAGGCUCACCAAGACCGUGAUGCAUAGCCGACCUGAGAGGGUAAUCGGCCACACUGGGACUGAGACACGGCCCAGACUCCUACGGGAGGCAGCAGUAGGGAAUCUUCCACAAUGGACGAAAGUCUGAUGGAGCAACGCCGCGUGAGUGAAGAAGGUUUUCGGAUCGUAAAACUCUGUUGUUGGAGAAGAAUGUAUCUGAUAGUAACUGAUCAGGUAGUGACGGUAUCCAACCAGAAAGCCACGGCUAACUACGUG
RNAcentral lists this ribosomal RNA (512 nucleotides) under uncultured bacterium. RNAcentral describes it as "bacterial SSU rRNA". It matches the Rfam family "Bacterial small subunit ribosomal RNA", at positions 36 to 507 of the family's 1533-position model. The record is from RNAcentral.